ACACUCUCAAAUCUGGUGAGUUA
This 23-nucleotide non-coding RNA is filed under the name Arabidopsis thaliana (thale cress). The record is from RNAcentral. Lineage: Eukaryota; Viridiplantae; Streptophyta; Magnoliopsida; Brassicales; Brassicaceae.